Molecule: ribosomal RNA, 303 nt
Filed under: uncultured bacterium
Lineage: Bacteria
Description: bacterial SSU rRNA
Rfam family: Bacterial small subunit ribosomal RNA
Source: RNAcentral
AUUGAACGCUGGCGGCAUGCCUUACACAUGCAAGUCGAACGGCAGCACGGGAGCAAUCCUGGUGGUGAGUGGCGAACGGGUGAGUAAUACAUCGGAACGUGCCCGAUCGUGGGGGAUAACUACUCGAAAGAGUAGCUAAUACCGCAUACGAUCUACGGAUGAAAGCGGGGGAUCGCAAGACCUCGCGCGGACGGAGCGGCCGAUGGCAGAUUAGGUAGUUGGUGGGAUAAAACUUACCAAGCCGACGAUCUGUAGCUGGUCUGAGAGGACGACCAGCCACACUGGGACUGAGACACGGCCCAG